This 429-nucleotide ribosomal RNA is filed under the name Bacteroidota bacterium. RNAcentral describes it as "Bacteroidetes bacterium partial 16S ribosomal RNA". It matches the Rfam family "Bacterial small subunit ribosomal RNA", at positions 355 to 776 of the family's 1533-position model. Lineage: Bacteria; Pseudomonadati; Bacteroidota. The record is from RNAcentral.
UAGGGAAUCUUCCGCAAUGGACGCAAGUCUGACGGAGCAACGCCGCGUGAGUGAAGAAGGAUUUCGGUUCGUAAAACUCUGUUGUUAGAGAAGAACAGCGCAUAGAGUAACUGUUAUGCGUGUGACGGUAUCUAACCAGAAAGCCACGGCUAACUACGUGCCAGCAGCCGCGGUAAUACGUAGGUGGCAAGCGUUGUCCGGAUUUAUUGGGCGUAAAGCGAGCGCAGGCGGUCAAUUAAGUCUGAUGUGAAAGCCCCCGGCUCAACCGGGGAGGGUCAUUGGAAACUGGUUGAUUUGAGUGCAGAAGAGGAGAGAGGAGUUCCAUGUGUAGCGGUGAAAUGCGUAGAUAUAUGGAGGAACACCAGUGGCGAAGGCGACUCUCUGGUCUGUAACUGACGCUGAGGCUCGAAAGCGUGGGUAGCAAACAGG